Molecule: ribosomal RNA, 467 nt
Filed under: uncultured bacterium
Lineage: Bacteria
Description: partial 16S ribosomal RNA
Rfam family: Bacterial small subunit ribosomal RNA
Source: RNAcentral
GACGAACGCUGGCGGCGUGCUUAACACAUGCAAGUCGAACGGAAAGGCCCUGCUUUUGUGGGGUGCUCGAGUGGCGAACGGGUGAGUAACACGUGAGUAACCUGCCCUUGACUUUGGGAUAACUUCAGGAAACUGGGGCUAAUACCGGAUAGGAGCUCCUGCUGCAUGGUGGGGGUUGGAAAGUUUCGGCGGUUGGGGAUGGACUCGCGGCUUAUCAGCUUGUUGGUGGGGUAGUGGCUUACCAAGGCUUUGACGGGUAGCCGGCCUGAGAGGGUGACCGGCCACAUUGGGACUGAGAUACGGCCCAGACGCAUACGGGAGGAAGCAGUGGGGACUAUUGCACAAUGGGCGGAAGCCUGAUGCAGCAACGCCGCGUGCGGGAUGACGGCCUUCGGGUUGUAAACCGCUUUCGCCUGUGACGAAGCGUGAGUGACGGUAAUGGGUAAAGAAGCACCGGCUAACUACGU